This is a non-coding RNA of Lolium perenne, 3634 nucleotides long. NCBI's taxonomy places the organism in Eukaryota, Viridiplantae, Streptophyta, Magnoliopsida, Poales, Poaceae. The record is from RefSeq and is a predicted model, not a curated record.
GAUCUAGUUAAGAUCUAUCGCCACCUCCAUUUAUCAUCCACCUCCAACCCAUCAAGGAGCGGAGCACACACAUUCUGCACGCGGCGGCAGAAAAUGGCGGCUCCUACCAGUGUGCUCCUGCUGCUGCUACUGUUCUUGGUUGGCCUGCACUCAACGGCGGCCGAAAUGCCGAUGCCGGUGAACGAGGAGGUGCUUGGGCUGGUGGUGUUCCGGUCGGCGCUCACCGACCCGUCCGGCGCGCUCUCCACCUGGGCCGAGUCCGACGCCACGCCCUGCGGCUGGGCGCACGUCGAGUGCGACCCGGCCACCUCCCGCGUCCUCCGCCUCGCCCUCGACGGCCUCGGCCUCUCCUCCACCUCCGGCCUGCCCCGCGGCCUCGACCGCCUCCCGGCGCUCCAGUCCCUCUCCCUCGCCAACAACAAACUCUCCGGCGCCCUCCGCCCGGGCCUCUCCCUCCUGCCCUCCCUCCGCUCCCUCGACCUCUCCCGCAACGCCCUCUCCGGCAACCUCCCCGACGACCUCCCCCUCCUCCCCGCGCUCCGAUACCUCGACCUCUCAUCCAACGCAUUCUCCGGCAACCUCCCGUCAUCCUUCCCGCCCACGCUCCGUUUCCUCAUGCUCUCCGGCAACCAGCUCUCCGGCGACAUACCAAAUGCGCUGCCCAACAGCCCACUCCUGCUCCACCUCAACAUGUCCAACAACCAGCUCUCCGGCGCGCCGGACUUUGCCACCGCGCUCUGGCCGCUCUCGCGCCUCCGCACGCUCGACCUCUCCGGCAACCGGCUAUCCGGCCCCAUCCCCGCCGGCAUCAGCGGCCUCCACAACCUCAAAGCACUCGACCUCAGCGGCAACCGCUUCUCCGGCAACUUCCCCGAGGACAUCGGCAUGUGCCCGCACCUCAGCGUCCUCGACGUCAGCAACAACGCGUUCGACGGCGAGCUGCCCGCAUCCAUCGCGCGCCUCGCCUCCCUGGUGCGCCUCUCGGCGUCCAGCAACAGGCUCUCGGGCGAGGUGCCCGCGUGGCUCGGCGACCUGGCCGCGCUGCAGCGGCUCGACCUCUCCGACAACGUGCUCACCGGCGCCCUGCCGGACUCGCUCGGCGAGCUCAAGGACCUCAGCUACCUCAGCCUGUCGAAGAACCAGCUCGCCGGCUCCAUCCCGGCGGCAAUGUCCGGCUGCACCAGGCUCGCCGAGCUGCACCUGAGGGGCAACAGGCUCAGCGGCAGCAUCCCCGACGCGCUGUUCGACGUCGGGCUCGAGACGGUCGACAUGUCGUCCAACGCGCUCUCCGGCGUGAUGCCGUCCGGGUCGACCAGGCUGGCGGAGACGCUGCAAUGGCUCGACCUCUCCGGCAACCAGCUCACCGGCAGCAUCCCGGCUGAGAUGGCGCUCUUCUUCAGCCUCCGGUACCUCAACGUCUCACGCAACGCGCUCCACACGCAGCUGCCGCCGGAGCUUGGCCUGCUCCGCAACUUGACGGUGCUCGACCUCCGCAGCAGCGGACUGUACGGUCCGCUGCCAAGCGAUCUGUGCGAGUCCGGCAGCCUCGCCGUGCUCCAGCUCGACGGCAACUCCCUCGCUGGCACCAUCCCCGACACCAUCGCGAAGUGCUCCUCUCUCUACCUACUGAGCUUGGGCCACAACGAUCUGACGGGGCCGAUACCGGCGAGCAUGGCGGAGCUGAAGAAGCUGGAGAUUCUGCGGCUGGAGUACAACCAUCUGACCGGCGAGAUACCGCAGCAGCUGGGCGGGCUGCAGAGCCUCCUGGCGGUGAACAUCUCGCACAACCGGCUCGUUGGAAGGCUGCCGGCGUCGGGCGUGUUUCAGAGCCUGGACGCGAGCGCGCUGGAGGGCAACCUCGGUGUGUGCAGCCCUCUGGUCACCGAGCCGUGCCGGAUGAACGUGCCCAAGCCGCUCGUGCUCGACCCCAACGAGUACACGCACGGCAACAGCAACAACGGCGACGUCGCGGAGAACGGUGGUGGUGGCCGCGGUGGCGAGGACGUGCCGAGGAAACGGCGGUUCCUGAGCGUGUCCGCGAUGGUGGCCAUCUGCGCGGCGCUGUCCAUCGCCCUCGGGGUCUUGGUGAUCACCCUGCUCAACGUGUCGUCGCGGCGGAGGAGGUCGGGUGGUGUCGGCGCCGACGAGUUCCAGGAGAAGGAGCUGGUGGAGCUGGAGAGCAUCGUGUCCGGGAGCAGCAGCUCGACCAAGUCGAGGAAGCUCGCCACCGGGAAGAUGGUGACGUUCGGGCCAGGGAGCAGCCUCCGCACGGAGGACUUCGUGGGCGGCGCGGACGCGCUGCUGAGCAAGGCGACGGAGAUCGGGCGCAGCGGCGUGUUCGGCACGACGUACCGCGCGUCGGUGGGCGAGGGCAGGGUGGUGGCGGUGAAGAAGCUGUCGACGGCGAGCGUGGUGGAGUCCCGCGACGUGUUCGACCGCGAGGCGCGCGUGCUGGGCAAGGCGCGGCACCCGAACCUGGUGCCGCUCAAGGGGUACUACUGGACGCCGCAGCUGCAGCUGCUCGUCACCGACUACGCGCCGCACGGCAGCCUCGAGGCGCGGCUCCAUGGCGGCGGCGGGGAGUCGAUGCGGCCGCUGACGUGGGAGGAGCGGUUUAGGGUGGUGGCGGGCACGGCGAGCGGGCUGGCGUACCUGCACCAGUCGUUCCGGCCGCCGGUGAUCCACUACAACGUGAAGCCGAGCAACAUCCUGCUGGACUCGCGGUGCAACCCGCUGAUCGCCGACUUCGGGCUGGCGCGGCUGCUCCGGAAGCCGACGCAGGCGGAAGGUGGCGGCGGGAGCAGCCGGUUCAUGCAUGGCGGCGGCGUUGGGUACGCGGCGCCGGAGCUGGCGUGCAGCAGCCUGCGUGUGAACGAGAAGUGCGACGUGUACGGGUUCGGUGUGCUGGUGCUGGAGCUGGUGACUGGGCGGCGGGCGGUGGAGUACGGCGAGGACGACGUGGCGGUGCUGAUCGACCAGGUUCGGGCGGUGCUGGAGCAGGGUGGCGGGGACGACGCGGUGGAGUGCGUGGACCCGGCGAUGGGCGGCGAGUUCCUGGAGGAGGAGGCGCUGCCGGUGCUGAAGCUGGGCAUGGUGUGCACGUCGCAGGUGCCGUCGAACCGGCCGUCCAUGGCGGAGGUGGUCCAGAUCCUGCAGGUCAUCAAGGCGCCGUUGCUGACGCCGGGCUGCACAAGGGAACGUUUCUGACACGUGAACCGGCGGACGAGCUCGCAUCGCGCGCAUACGACCUGCCAGCCAGAGAAUCCAUUGAUUGGCAGCUCGAGGUACCAUAGAUCCGCGGGUAGUACGUGAGGUGCACUGUGCGCCCACCACAGCGCACCGUUAUCAUCAGGGUGUUUGUUUGUUUCUUGUAGUGCUGCCGCGGUCCAUGACUUGACAUGCGUGACACAUGUGAGUGCACAGCGACUGUGUGCGUGAACUACACGGGUCCACCGUUACACAAGAAAGUAUCAACAGACUUAUGAAUGUGUACAUGAACCGUUUGUUGUUGGACAUGUUGGGCCCUGCCCUGCACAGAAUCUUUGUUACAGAUCGCUUGGACUGGCUUGUGCUCAUACCGCAAAUAGAUAUCUCCUUUAUUGAAAAUACAAAUACACAUCUGUUGCUGGCUCAA